This 20-nucleotide small nuclear RNA is filed under the name Arabidopsis thaliana (thale cress). Its description in RNAcentral is "snRNA_05803". The record is from RNAcentral. Lineage: Eukaryota; Viridiplantae; Streptophyta; Magnoliopsida; Brassicales; Brassicaceae.
GCCGGAGGUAGGGUCCAGCG